UACGUAGGCGGAAAAUUAAGUCAGUAGUGAAAUCCUGCAGCUUAACUGUAGAACUGUUAUUGAUACUGGUUUUCUUGAAUAUAGUUGAGGUAGGCGGAAUGUGUAAUGUAGCGGUGAAAUGCUUAGAUAUUACACAGAACACCGAUUGCGAAGGCAGCUUACUAAGCCAUGAUUGACGCUGAGGUACGAAAGCGUGGGGAGCGAACAGGAUUAGAUACCCUGGUAGUCC
Molecule: ribosomal RNA, 229 nt
Filed under: uncultured bacterium
Lineage: Bacteria
Description: partial 16S ribosomal RNA
Rfam family: Bacterial small subunit ribosomal RNA
Source: RNAcentral